This is a long non-coding RNA of Passer domesticus (house sparrow), 1715 nucleotides long. RefSeq lists it as uncharacterized. NCBI's taxonomy places the organism in Eukaryota, Metazoa, Chordata, Aves, Passeriformes, Passeridae. The transcript is spliced from 3 exons. The record is from RefSeq and is a predicted model, not a curated record.
UUUGGGAAGGGAGAUGUGCAUCUCUCUUCUCCCGUUAUUACAGGCAGUAACAAUCCUCAGGAUGAAAUUCUCCCUUGGGGACAUAAGUGGGACUUUGUUUAGAGGGGCAAAAACACGAGGUUUGUGUUUUUCAGUCUCAAAGCCAGCAUAUGGGUCUUAGGAUAUAUAAAACACUGCAAACUGGAAGAGGACAAUAAGGAAGUGUGAGGUGGUGAUGACAGCAACAGGGAUAUGUUCUUUAACAGUCACAGAAGGAAAUGAAACUCCGCAAAACCUUCUCUAGGCAACAAAAAAUAAACUGCCAUUGGAGUUCAAAGUAGCACGUAAAAUAGUUUUCUAUAUGCACUAGCAAAAAAAUAUGUAACUAUCAUAUAAUGAAAAUUAUCUUCUAGACCAGUGUUGAAUAUAAGAGUAAAGGUACACUUUGCUGGGAGUCUACUACUUCAAGUAGCAGAGAUCCUGCAAGAAAAACUGAUGCCAGCAGAACUCACCAACUUACAAGCUCUGAAUAGUUUGAGAAAUAUUAGAUUCUGGUACUGCUGACUUUGCAACUGAGUGGCCACAAAACUAUGAGAGAAACUCGACCUCCUACACUGGUUCUGUCACUGUCUCUUCAGUACAUCAUUACUGAAAAGAGAAGUUACAUAGAAACAGAUUCUAGUCACCCACUGCCUUUGGUACACAUCAUUCACAAUUUUCAAUUGCAAGACAGUGUAUUCUUGGACUCUGGCAAAAGAUGAUACAUCAGAACUAAUAAAUGCAGAGAUACAAUUGUUUAAAUUAGGUCAUUAAGCUACUCAUAAUGUAUUACAAUACUCAUAAGAACUCAACAACCUUGCAUUUCUGUGAAUUGCUAAAUGUUGUAUGCAUUCCUGAUACAUUCUUGUUAGCAUUUGAACACUCCUGGGCUCUUGUACCUGCUGCCCUCAAUUACUUCAACAAGGAAUAGCUCUUUCUUGGCUCUGUUACCACUUCCACCUGCUGGAAAGGAUGGAAAAAAAAUGUCACUGUACAGGUAAAUGGGAGUCCUGAGAUGUUUUCACUUACUGAAGGAUGGAAAACAUGAGAAAUCUCUCCCUUUUGAAAGCAACAGAGAGCAGAGCUAUUGAAAUUAUCAGAUUUUGAGACACAAGUUCUAUAACCAAAAAGCUCACUCCUUUUGAAACAGAGUUGCUUGGUGUAGUGGUAACAUGGCUGGAGUCAGAACUCCUGGGUCAUCCUCUUCUUUCCACCUCUGGCUCACUUGUUGGCCUUGGAAAAAGCUUUCUGUCAGGCUUGGGAAAACUUCUGUCCCAGUUUCUUCACCUGUGAAACAGGCUACAUUGAUAAACACUUACUUCACCAAAACAACUCGCUGGGCUUUGUGGGAUUCUCUGGAUGAUGCUUGUAAAUGUAAAUGAGUUCUGUGAAUGUCAAAAGUUCUUAUAUUAUAAUGUCAUGACUUUACGUACAGUUCAGGAACUUUAUACACAGAUCCCAGGGCAGAUGUCAUCCUGGGAAAUAGAAGGGCUAGAGUAAAUAUUGGAGCAAUGAGAAAAUGAUGCUUGAAUGGAAAAAAUAAAAUUACUUGUGGGGGAGACAGCACCAUGAGAGUAUCUGCUAUCUGCAGUCUUACCCAAAAUAAUAAUUUCUGCUGCCAUUCCAGCUAGAAACAGGUUACAGCUUCAUAUAAGCACUCACAGAAUUGGGGCUUGAAGAAAACAGGAAAUAACACA